Molecule: ribosomal RNA, 497 nt
Filed under: uncultured bacterium
Lineage: Bacteria
Description: partial 16S ribosomal RNA
Rfam family: Bacterial small subunit ribosomal RNA
Source: RNAcentral
GACGAACGCUGGCGGCGUGCCUAAUACAUGCAAGUUGAGCGAUGAAGAUUGGUGCUUGCACCAAUUUGAAGAGCAGCGAACGGGUGAGUAACGCGUGGGGAAUCUGCCUUUGAGCGGGGGACAACAUUUGGAAACGAAUGCUAAUACCGCAUAACAACUUUAAACAUAAGUUUUAAGUUUGAAAGAUGCAAUUGCAUCACUCAAAGAUGAUCCCGCGUUGUAUUAGCUAGUUGGUGAGGUAAAGGCUCACCAAGGCGAUGAUACAUAGCCGACCUGAGAGGGUGAUCGGCCACAUUGGGACUGAGACACGGCCCAAACUCCUACGGGAGGCAGCAGUAGGGAAUCUUCGGCAAUGGACGAAAGUCUGACCGAGCAACGCCGCGGGAGUGAAGAAGGUUGUCGGAUCGUAAAACUCUGUUGGUAGAGAAGAACGUUGGUGAGAGUGGAAAGCUCAUCAAGUGACGGUAACUACCCAGAAAGGGACGGCUAACUACGCG